RNAcentral lists this small RNA (59 nucleotides) under Plasmodium falciparum 3D7. Its description in RNAcentral is "Pfa-npcR6222". Lineage: Eukaryota; Apicomplexa; Aconoidasida; Haemosporida; Plasmodiidae. The record is from RNAcentral.
AUAUGUUUUUUUUUUUUUUAUGCAAUAGUAUAAAAUAUUAGGCUUCACUAGAAGCCAUU